UGGUCUUCCGUUUUAGGACGAAACGAAGGAGUUACGAAUAUAGUGUGUGAUGACUGGUAGUUGCACUUUGCAUUCUCAAAACUAACAUCAUCAUAUAAAUGCGUGACAGCUCAAAUUUCCCGUUUGAAUACAGAUAGACAAACUAACCCCAACUUUUUUCGUUUUUUUUUCAUCAUCUUCAGAAUUAAUCCCAUUUUCUACCAUAUUUUUAAUCACAUUCAUUCUCCAAAUUUCUCUGCAUUUUCAUUUUCAGUCACAUUGAGUUUCUUUGUUAUGGCUAUGGAACCUUAAUCCCAUUUUCUACCAUAUUUUUAAUCACAUUCAUUCUCCAAAUUUCUCUGCAUUUUCAUUUUCAGUCACAUUGAGUUUCUUUGUUAUGGCUAUGGAACCUUCAUCAUCCAGUUCUGGACAAUCCAAAAAUAUUUCCAGGAAAC
RNAcentral lists this long non-coding RNA (434 nucleotides) under Lathyrus oleraceus (garden pea). RNAcentral's name for it is "Pisum sativum (pea) long non-coding RNA (PSAT_LNC009967)". Lineage: Eukaryota; Viridiplantae; Streptophyta; Magnoliopsida; Fabales; Fabaceae. The record is from RNAcentral.